GCACUGGUGGUUCAGUGGUAGAAAUUCUUGCCUUCCAUGCUGGAGACCGGGCUCAAUUCCUGACCAAUGCA
Molecule: transfer RNA, 71 nt
Filed under: Loxodonta africana (African savanna elephant)
Lineage: Eukaryota; Metazoa; Chordata; Mammalia; Proboscidea; Elephantidae
Rfam family: tRNA
About the family: Transfer RNA (tRNA) molecules are approximately 80 nucleotides in length. Their secondary structure includes four short double-helical elements and three loops (D, anti-codon, and T loops). Further hydrogen bonds mediate the characteristic L-shaped molecular structure. tRNAs have two regions of fundamental functional importance: the anti-codon, which is responsible for specific mRNA codon recognition, and the 3' end, to which the tRNAs corresponding amino acid is attached (by aminoacyl-tRNA synthetases). tRNAs cope with the degeneracy of the genetic code in two manners: having more than one tRNA (with a specific anti-codon) for a particular amino acid; and 'wobble' base-pairing, i.e. permitting non-standard base-pairing at the 3rd anti-codon position.
Source: Rfam by way of RNAcentral